CCUACGGGAGGCAGCAGUGAGGAAUAUUGGUCAAUGGGCGAGAGCCCGAACCAGCCAAGUAGCGUGCAGGACGACGGCCCUAUGGGUUGUAAACUGCUUUUAUGCGGGGAUAAAGUGGGGGACGCGUCCCUUUUUGCAGGUACCGCAUGAAUAAGGACCGGCUAAUUCCGUGCCAGCAGCCGCGGUA
This 187-nucleotide ribosomal RNA is filed under the name uncultured bacterium. Its description in RNAcentral is "partial 16S ribosomal RNA". It matches the Rfam family "Bacterial small subunit ribosomal RNA", at positions 338 to 522 of the family's 1533-position model. The record is from RNAcentral.